UGUAGAGUCAACUAACCGGAAAAAUUUAUCAGAAACCAUAAAUCUGAGUUAUGCAAGGGUUCAAAUUCUGCCUCUACCU
This 79-nucleotide transfer RNA is filed under the name Keratoisis sp. 9 LFD-2014. RNAcentral describes it as "tRNA-Met". Lineage: Eukaryota; Metazoa; Cnidaria; Anthozoa; Scleralcyonacea; Keratoisididae. The record is from RNAcentral.